AUCCUCACAUGAAGGCCACAAAGCGACAGCAGAGGGGUGGACCAAGAACAGAUCUUCAGCAGAAGAUAGACUGAGAAGAAUCUACAUCAUCUUCUUGUGUCCUCUGAGAAUCUAGGAGGACACAAGAGAUAUAUAUGAAGAAACAGUCAUUUCUACUAAUGAGCGCCAGUUAGAGGGUGUGUAUGCCAGCCGCACCCUGUGGAGGAAGAAGAGACUUGCAACAAUGGGACAAUAAAGCAGCAAGAAACCUCCUGUUGAACCAGACUCAGGAAGACCGACCAUCUGCCCUGACUGGAUGGGAAACAGCAAGAGAGAAAACAAACAAACCACUUGACACUGGGCAGAUCUGGAUGAGUUUUCUAAAGUCCUGUCCUGCUCCUGGUCCUCUGUGGGUCUGGGCUUGCCCCCUCUGCCAGAGACAGUCCACAUGUCAGGGCCACCUGUUGAAAUAGUGGGUGGCUAAUUCUAGAAGUGACUUCAGACUGCCUCUCCAUUACCACCCAUCUGACAGGCCACCAGCACCAUUCACCCCACCACAGACUAUCUGUCUUGCAUGCCCCCAGCCGGUGCGCUGUUAUGGCAGUCCCCUUGAUUGAUAGACUGUGUCUACUCAGGGUUAAUUUACUCUCUUGAAUAAUGCAUGGAAUGAUACUACUCCUCCAUUCUGCAGCUCACCGUGGGGUGAGGAUUCUGGGUUUCUGUGCUUCUACACAAUCAAGUGUGUUCUCUAUUUUACCACUCAUGCACUCAUGGAUAAGACAAGAGAACAAAGGCAUUUUAAAGAAGAAUAUUACAUAAUAUUUAUUAUGAAACUGGAAAACAUCAUGUAUUCCAAGUACCUUAAUGCUAAGAAGUGUGAUUCAAAAGAGUUGUUUAGAGGAGAGAUAUGAAAUGUAAAUCAGGCAGACCACCUGUCAUUUUUGCACAACAUGUGGGCAGGAAUAUUUAACUGGGGUUGCAAGCAACACCAACAAAUGUUUCCUCAUGUUAUGUGGAGAAACGUAAUGCAAAUGUUAAAUGACUUCAAAAAGUUUUUUUCUCAAUUAAAUAAAGACCAGACCAGAAAGAAAUAUAUUGAAAAUAUGAGUUCCUUCUCUCUACUAAAAAAUGGUACACAGCAUAUUGGUAAGCUCCAGAUAAUGUUAAGAUGACAGCAAAAUGUCAGACAUGAGUGUUGUGUGUAAAUAAUGACAUCCUGACCACUGGUGUGAUAGUACAAUUGAGAGAGAGGGACAGAGAGAAAGUGAGGGAGAGAGAGAAAGAGAAAAUGGCAGAGGGGUGAGGGUAAUUAGGAAAAUUAAUCUAACAUUAACAAAUAACUAGCCAAAAGUAACUGCAGUUCUGAAACAAAGUAAAACAGAAGCAAGACUGAAAGAGUCCAAGGAACACAGUAUAAUAACUAAACUAGAACCAAUAAUCCAACCCCAAGAUCAAAUCAACCCAGAACCUGACAUAUAAAUACAUCGAAUUGUAUAAGUACUUUAUUGUGACAUAACAUUAUUGUCCCUUUUAGAAGGACAAAUGAACAUAUUCUUCUUUAUUUUAGAAUAAUAUUUCAACAAAAAAUGUAUAUCUUUUGUUAACAACAAUAGCUGACAAAAAACUUUACUGUAUUCAUUUAAACUUCAGUUUUGUGUAAAUGGGAAUUAAUCUUAUUAUGCAGAAGUUUGUCUCCCAUCAAGUAGGUCAAAAUUGUUAAAACACCAUUCAGAAUGUAGACUAGUGCAGCUGCAAGUAACAGCUGUGUUGUUCUAUCUAAAUUCCCAAGAGACUUCUUUCUGCAUUGAACAAGCUGCUAUUGUUCUGAAACUUUAGCACCAGAACAAUCUGAAUCAUUGUUUCUAUUAAUAGUAUAUAUAUGUAUAUAUAUAUAUAUAUAUAUAUAUAUAUAUAUAUAUAUG
Long non-coding RNA from Gambusia affinis (western mosquitofish), 1901 nucleotides. RefSeq lists it as uncharacterized. The record is from RefSeq and is a predicted model, not a curated record. NCBI's taxonomy places the organism in Eukaryota, Metazoa, Chordata, Actinopteri, Cyprinodontiformes, Poeciliidae. The transcript is spliced from 3 exons.